This 776-nucleotide ribosomal RNA is filed under the name uncultured Neocallimastigales. RNAcentral's name for it is "partial large subunit ribosomal RNA". It matches the Rfam family "Eukaryotic large subunit ribosomal RNA", at positions 23 to 643 of the family's 3401-position model. Lineage: Eukaryota; Fungi; Neocallimastigomycota; Neocallimastigomycetes; Neocallimastigales. The record is from RNAcentral.
AGAGGAGAGACAUGCGCGCAUAUCAAUAAGCGGAGGAAAAGAAACUAACUAGGAUUCCCUCAGUAACGGCGAGUGAAGCGGGAAGAGCUCAAAUUUGAAAUCUUCAAGGUUCUACCUUGACGAAUUGUAGUUUAAAGAAGUGUUUUCUGUUGGAGUUUUGGUAAAAGUUCUUUGGAAUAGGACAUCAUAGAGGGUGAGAAUCCCGUAUUUGACCAUUAUUUCCAGCUUUGUGAUACACUUUCAAAGAGUCGGAUUGUUUGGGAAUGCAGUCCAAAAUGGGUGGUAAAUUUCAUCUAAAGCUAAAUACUGGCGAGAGACCGAUAGCGAACAAGUACCGUGAGGGAAAGAUGAAAAGAACUUUGAAAAGAGAGUUAAACAGUACGUGAAAUUGUCAAAAGGGAAGCGUUUGACACCAGUGUUGUUUUCUCGAAAAUCAAUUAAAAAAGGCAGGAUUUUGUGUUGUAUUGACUUCAUCAGCUUUCUGCACUCUUUUCUUGUCUUUUUUUAAUGCACUUUCCGUUUAACAAGUCAACAUCAAUUUCUUUUGUUGUAAAAGGGUCAUUGGAAGGUGGCUUUCUUUUCGGAGAAAGUGUUUAUAGCCUUUGGCCUCUGCAAUCGGAGAGAUUGAGGUCUGCAGCGUAGAUCCUUCGGGGUUAGAUACAUUUGUGCUAAGUUAUAGCCUUUCAUAGACAACUUGUUGACUAUGAUCAGUCAUGUAGCUUACUCGCUUAUGCUAUUUUACCUACGCUUAGGAUGUUGAUGUGAUACUGCGAGCA